AUAGUUAGCGGUCGCUAACUAAUGCUGUUGAAGUUAGCGGGUGCGAACUAUACUUAGCGGGCGCGAACUUGCACUGUUCAGUUCGCUGUUUUUCUAUUUAAAGACCCCUUAUUCGACCUAAACUCUUUUCCUUCGACUUUUAAAACCCUAAAACGGCUGGAGUCAUAUUCUAACUCAUUCCUAUCAACAUUCCUCUCAAUUUUAAUCCUUGGCUGAUUUGGGUUGAUUGAUUUCUGGGUUUUAUUGUUCUUAGUCUAAUCAAGAGACCCGUCGACUGCUCGUGUUUCGGAGUCUACGCAUGGUUAGCUGUUUGCCAAGAUUUACGUGGAUAAGCAAGCAG
Long non-coding RNA from Mercurialis annua (annual mercury), 340 nucleotides. RefSeq lists it as uncharacterized. Lineage: Eukaryota; Viridiplantae; Streptophyta; Magnoliopsida; Malpighiales; Euphorbiaceae. The transcript has 3 exons. The record is from RefSeq and is a predicted model, not a curated record.